Molecule: long non-coding RNA, 1898 nt
Filed under: Mytilus galloprovincialis (Mediterranean mussel)
Lineage: Eukaryota; Metazoa; Mollusca; Bivalvia; Mytilida; Mytilidae
Source: RNAcentral
GUAUUACAAAAAACGCUCGAGGUAACCCGGCUGGCCAUAAUUACUCAUCUAUAAAAUUUUUAAAAAAAUGAACUUUUAGUACAAAGCUUCGAUUUCAGGAUACAAAGUUAUGUUGUAACUAUUGCAUUCAGUUUUAUAAUAAAUAACACAAAAGGGAACUUGGUGGAGUACGUGAAAUCUUAAUAUGGUAUGGCCUCUUAAAUUACACACACGUUUAUAUAUAUAGCCCAGGUGGUCUAGCGGGACGGCUGCAGUGCAGGCGUUUUGGUGUCACGAUAUCACAGUAGCAUGGGUUCGAAUCCCGGCGAGGGAAGAACCAAACAUUUGCGAAAGCAAGAUGACGACGACGCUAUAGUUGCUGUCUACAUUUAUAAAAUGUAAAGAUACUCGUCACCGAAAUUAUCACCAAAAUUUGUUCAGAAACAUUAUAUAAACCAGCAUUAUAUCGAGCCUAAUAUAUAAAUGAUAAUAUAUAUACAUUUAAUCUAUGCACUUGGUGCGUUAAAUCUUAUUUAAUGGUAUUAUGAUAUUUUCUCUUUUUUCCAGGUUGCGCAGCACAAAAUGAUACAGAAACUACAACAACACCAAACGCCGCAGUAACGCAGUGUAUAAGCAGUGUUAUUCUUUCUGCAUGUGUCCUAAUAGCCUAUAAACUGAUGUAAAACCAGCCUUUGAGUAAUGAAAUGUCUUGUUUUAAAGAUGAUGAUGCUCUAUUCAUAUUUAGUACAAUGUAUCCGUAUGCAUUUGAGAAAUGUGUGACAUUUAACUAACUGUUAUGAAAUGGAGAUUAAAUUUGAUUAAUUCUAUCCGAUAUUUUUUCAAUCCUGUAUUUAUUGUUACUAAAAAGAACAUCGGUAGUAUAUAACUCAAAAGAUAUUUUUCUUAAUAUUCCACACACCAUGCAACAAUCACAGAUUUGAUAAAAAUUAAAAUACAAACAAUCGUAAAAGGUGGAGGGGAGUCCAACCAAAGAACCUCUCCGAAGUUAUCACAUUCAAGGUCUCUCAGAAUACUGUAGCAAUACUUGACCACCGUUACUAAUUCUUUCACGAUAUACAUUUACUGGUGGACAGCAGGGGCCAAUGUUGACGAGUGGUCUAAAUACUAAAAUCACUGUAUCACUAGCAAGUAAACACUAAUGUUCUGAUUUCGAAUCCCGCACCUUGUAGGUGCAUUCGACUCCAACCUCACUUGACUGGGAUUUUCAGUUGCCAACCUAAGGUCUGUGGUCCUCUGCGGAUACUCCAGUUUCCUUCACUAAUAUAAACUGAUCGCCAUGAAAUAGCAUAAUACUGUUGAAAGUACCAUUAAAACGUCAAUCAAUGGUGACAGCAUUGUCUAAUCAAUAUUUGUCCUUUAUUUCUCCCAAGACUUCUUUCUGUUCGAAAUAAAUGUUUUUACUCCUUAGUGAGUAAUGACAAACAUACUUGUACUAGUAUAUAUAGAUUAGUUACCGUUAGGAUUUUAUUCAUGAUAAAUUACACAAAUCACAUGUUUAACACACUCACACCAGGACUUAUUUUGUCAUUUUCAUAUCAAGAGUUGAACAAUUGAUGCAAACUGCUAAGUGAAUUUGAGAAUGGAAAUGAGAAAUGCGUCAAAGAGACCACGACCUGACCAAAGACAAAAAACAGCUGAAGGCCCCCAAUAGGAAUUCUUUAAAAUUCACCAAUAUAACCAAAGGAAAUAUAUAGACAUUUAAUAUGUGUUGUUUUUUCGUGUAUCGAGAUACUAUAAAGAAAUAUCCCGCCAAACGUCUUGUGUAGUAGACACAAAACACUGCCAGUGGGACUACUCGAUUUCUUAAAACCUAACUUAUAUCGAAAAGAAAUGGAUUUAUGGAAUGUUUUGAUAAUUAAAAUAUUUGUUUUGAUUUGAUUUGCUUUUUGGUGUUUUAA